Molecule: long non-coding RNA, 1548 nt
Organism: Cyanistes caeruleus (blue tit)
Lineage: Eukaryota; Metazoa; Chordata; Aves; Passeriformes; Paridae
Source: Ensembl
UAAAGUUAUUUUGCAGAUAUGUAUCAUAAAACUUAAAUUAUUAAGUUCAAGUCUAGAUACAGACUAUUUCACUGAGCUUUAGUGAAUUUCCCUUUAGAAGAUAUUCUAAUUUAUGACUGCUUAAGUAGAGGGUACAAUAGUUUGCAUUAAAAAAUAGAACUGGAGGCUCUUUCUCUGCACUGUAGUGCUGCAGCCAUAUCUACCAGCUACUGUCAAACGUUCAUCUUUUUUGAAUCCCCAAAUUCUUUUUUUUUUUUACAGAAUGGUAAGCUUGGGCUAUGAACCAGGAUUUAUAUAGUUGUUUCAGGAAUGUUUUUCUUAAAGCGCACGACAAUAAAAACUUGAUUAGAGGACUGCAGCUUCUCAUCCUGGAGGGAACAAAAGCUCUCUUGGUUUUCUUAAAGGUGGCUCACCUGAUGGUAAAGGCACUGCCUGGAAUAUUUUGCAGAUUGGCGUUUCUGUUUGUUGAUUCCAUAUUAAACAGAAUAACCAAGCAUGCUGAAGCUCUCAUUAAGAAGCACCUGCCCUUGGAACGUAUUAUAUUCUGAGCUGCAUUGGACAAGGACUUAUUGGAAGAUAAAUGGAAGUCAAUACUAGGCUUUUUCAAAGUAAACAAAAAAUAGACUUUUCUACUCCAUGUAUAAAAAACCUCCUUUCUACACCACCUCCUUAGUGCUGAAAGACAGAAAGAAGGAAAGGUUAUCUCAGUUACUUCUGUGUCUAGUGUCUAGAUAAUGAAUAGAUCCCUCAAAGAUGCUGAUGGGGUGCAAUGUGUUUGGAAUAUGCCAAAGUGGAUCCAGAUACUUCCAUUGUUUCGUUGAGUUAAGUGUGUGGGUCUGGCCCUCACAUGCAGGGUGAAUUAAAUACUUCCUUGCCAGAAGCUCAGCCAUAGGAUCUGUGUGUUCCCACUUCCUGUCCUCUGGUUUAGCACAGGGAUCUCAGCAGUGGCUCUUCUCUGCUGGACCCUACACUGCAGUGGUUGCUGUAGCCAAAUGGAAAAUAUUGAGCUGGGCAGAUGGAGCAACCCAGCUGCACUGUAGAGAAUGCAACAUCUGGGCAGUUGCGGGCUCUUGUCUCUCUCACUCCUCUAACCACCCCCUGCAGGGCCAGGAAGGGCUCCCUGCCUUGGUGGUCCCUGCUUGGCUUCAGACCCAACUGCUGCAGCCCCUUGUGUGGGAGCAGGCAGUGCUGGCCUGGUUUCCUGCGCCUCCAGGCUGAGAGAAAGCGCUGCGGAGGCAGCCAAAAAGGGGCUGUGUCACUCACUGUGUUAGCCUGAGUGGACAUGGGUGAUGCCAUAGCUGUGCGCAGUCAACACUGCAGCCCUUAAUCACUGAAAGUCUGGAGAAGUGAGAUGGUCUUAAAUAUCUUAAUGUCAAGAAAAAUAAGUCUGAAAGGUGUAUUUCUCGUCUAGCACUGGCUCUUGCAGUUCUGUUCAGGAUCACACUGACUUGCUGUUCAGUGGGAUUACCAUCCUCAGGUGGCCAAGUGGUUCUGGGGGACAGAGCUCCCUCAGGAAAACAGUGAGUCCUCCAAUGCCUGUAGCAUGAU